RNAcentral lists this unclassified non-coding RNA (241 nucleotides) under Hevea brasiliensis (rubber tree). Lineage: Eukaryota; Viridiplantae; Streptophyta; Magnoliopsida; Malpighiales; Euphorbiaceae. The record is from RNAcentral.
UUGGAGAAGGUUCCCAGGGUCAGGUAAAAAUGUUGAUUCAUUAUAAAAAGCAAAAUGAAAAUGAUAUUUAUUACUAUAUCCUGUCCAUAUUAUUCGUCAUUUUGGACGUUGAACGAUUCGAAUCUAGUCAAAUACAUAAUCUACAUGAGUAUACGAGUCCGUAGAUACUCAUAUUGCUAUACUUUUAGUCUAGACCCAAAAAGUCAGACCCGAACAACUGUUGACAUUUUAGAAAAACUAA